This 607-nucleotide ribosomal RNA is filed under the name uncultured bacterium. Its description in RNAcentral is "bacterial SSU rRNA". It matches the Rfam family "Bacterial small subunit ribosomal RNA", at positions 738 to 1335 of the family's 1533-position model. The record is from RNAcentral.
UCCUGACGCUCGGGGACGAAAGCUAGGGGAGCGAACAGGAUUAGAUACCCUGGUAGUCCUAGCUGUAAACGAUGGGCACUAGAUGCUCGUUCUUUUGAAUGGGUGUCGUAGUUAACGCGUUAAGCGCCCCACCUGGGGACUACGGUCGCAAGACUAAAACUCAAAGGAAUUGACGGGGGGCUGCACAAGCGGUGGAACACGUGGUUUAAUUCGAUGCUACGCGAGGAACCUUACCAGGGCUUGACAUGCUGGAAGUAGCCACCCGAAAGGAUUGGCCACCUGUAACCAAUCAGGAACCAGUGCAGGUGCUGCAUGGCUGUCGUCAGCUCGUGCCGUGAGGUGUUCCCUUAAGUGGGAAAACGAGCGCAACCCUCGUCCUUAGUUGCCACCUUCGAGUAAUCGGAGCGCACUCUAAGGAGACUGCCCGCGUUAAGUGGGAGGAAGGUGAGGAUGACGUCAAGUCCGCAUGGCCCUUAUGCCCUGGGCUACACACGUGUUACAAUGGCGCAUACAGUGGGGGGCUAAACCGCAAGGUGGAGCAAAUCCUAUAAAGUGUGCCUCAGUUCGGAUUGAGGGCUGCAAUUCGCCCUCAUGAAGCUGGAAUCGC